RNAcentral lists this ribosomal RNA (793 nucleotides) under uncultured archaeon. Its description in RNAcentral is "bacterial SSU rRNA". It matches the Rfam family "Archaeal small subunit ribosomal RNA", at positions 85 to 879 of the family's 1478-position model. The record is from RNAcentral.
ACUGCUCAGUAACACGUGGACAACCUGCCCUUAGGUUGGGUAUAAACCCGGGAAACUGGGUAUAAUACCCGAUAGGUCUCGAUUGCUGGAAUGCAUCGAGAUUUAAAGCUCCGGCGCCUAAGGAUGGGUCUGCGGCCUAUCAGGUAGUAGUGGGUGUAGCGUACCUACUAGCCUACGACGGGUACGGGUUGUGAGAGCAAGAGCCCGGAGAUGGAUUCUGAGACACGAAUCCAGGCCCUACGGGGUGCAGCAGGCGCGAAAACUUUACAAUGCUGGCAACAGCGAUAAGGGAACCUCGAGUGCCAGGUUACAAAUCUGGCUGUCGAGAUGCCUAAAAAGCAUUUCAUAGCAAGGGCCGGGCAAGACCGGUGCCAGCCGCCGCGGUAACACCGGCGGCUCGAGUGGUAACCGUUAUUAUUGGGUCUAAAGGGUCUGUAGCCGGCCGGAUAAGUCUCUUGAGAAAUCUGGCAGCUUAACUGUCAGGCUUUCAGGAGAUACUGUCUGGCUCGAGGCCGGGAGAGGUGAGAGGUACUUCAGGGGUAGGGGUGAAAUCUUGUAAUCCUUGAAGGACCACCAGUGGCGAAGGAGUCUCACCAGAACGGACCUGACGGCAAGGGACGAAAGCUAGGGGCACGAACCGGAUUAGAUACCCGGGUAGUCCUAGCCGUAAACAAUACUCGCUAGGUGUCGGCCACGGUGCGACCGUUGUCGGUGCCGUAGGGAAGCCGUGAAGCGAGCCACCUGGGAAGUACGGCCGCAAGGCUGAAACUUAAAGGAAUUGGCGGGGGAGCAC